CUAAAGGGGAGAGGGCAAGGCAACCAUUCUUAAAGAAAGAUACAGGGAAGCACCUUGAGGGAAAGAUGAGAACCUCUUUCCUGUAGCAGCAUCCAGUGACUUCAAAUCUUGUGUUAAUGCUAAUGGUUUGAAGCUGCACUCAGGUGUGUGAGAACACAGGGUUUGAGGUGCUCCGAUCCACACACCUGCUCGCAGGAACUGAUGGGGCUGAACUGCGAGCUGACCAGUGAGCAGCAGGUCUCCAUGGAGAUGAGGCUCACUCCUGGCGUAAAAUAAUGCCUCUCAAAGAUCUACUAUAACUCUGAUUUGAGAAUUUGUAAAACAGAGAAAAAGAAGAUUCUCUACAAUCUCACUGCAAAUGCAAACAUAAGAAUUUUAAAUUCAACAUCAUCCAACCGACUCCAGCUGCGCUGUCCAACAUAUCCUGUCCUGUCUCCAUCACCAGCAUCACCACCUCACGCUAGAAGGAGACUCAAUCGGGAUUUUGAAGAACUCAACCAGCCUGUAGACCAACAAUAA
Molecule: long non-coding RNA, 519 nt
Filed under: Chinchilla lanigera (long-tailed chinchilla)
Lineage: Eukaryota; Metazoa; Chordata; Mammalia; Rodentia; Chinchillidae
Description: lncRNA (ENSCLAG00000023645.1)
Source: RNAcentral